GGGGAAUAUUGCACAAUGGGCGAAAGCCUGAUGCAGCAACGCCGCGUGAGUGAAGAAGGUUUUCGGGUCGUAAAGCUCUGUCCUCAAGGAAGAUAAUGACGGUACUUGAGGAGGAAGCCCCGGCUAACUACGUGCCAGCAGCCGCGGUAAUACGUAGGGGGCUAGCGUUAUCCGGAAUUACUGGGCGUAAAGGGUGCGUAGGUGGUUUCUUAAGUCAGAGGUGAAAGGCUACGGCUCAACCGUAGUAAGCCUUUGAAACUGGGAAACUUGAGUGCAGGAGAGGAGAGUGGAAUUCCUAGUGUAGCGGUGAAAUGCGUAGAUAUUAGGAGGAACACCAGUUGCGAAGGCGGCUCUCUGGACUGUAACUGACACUGAGGCACGAAAGCGUGGGGAGCAAAC
This 399-nucleotide ribosomal RNA is filed under the name uncultured bacterium. Its description in RNAcentral is "bacterial SSU rRNA". It matches the Rfam family "Bacterial small subunit ribosomal RNA", at positions 356 to 773 of the family's 1533-position model. The record is from RNAcentral.